This 432-nucleotide ribosomal RNA is filed under the name uncultured bacterium. RNAcentral describes it as "partial 16S ribosomal RNA". It matches the Rfam family "Bacterial small subunit ribosomal RNA", at positions 29 to 507 of the family's 1533-position model. The record is from RNAcentral.
AACGAACGCUGGCGGCAUGCCUAACACAUGCAAGUCGAACGAGACCUUCGGGUCUAGUGGCGCACGGGUGCGUAACGCGUGGGAACCUGCCCUUAGGUUCGGAAUAACUCCCCGAAAGGGGUGCUAUACCGGAUUAUUUCUUUGGACCAAAGGUUUAUCGCCUUUGGAUGGGCCCGCGUUGGAUUAGCUAGUUGGUAGGGUAAAAGCCUACCAAGGCGACGAUCCAUAGCUGGUCUGAGAGGAUGAUCAGCCACACUGGGACUGAGACACGGCCCAGACUCCUACGGGAGGCAGCAGUGGGGAAUAUUGGACAAUGGGCGAAAGCCUGAUCCAGCAAUGCCGCGUGAGUGAUGAAGGCCUUAGGGUUGUAAAGCUCUUUUACCCGGGAUGAUAAUGACAGUACCGGGAGAAUAAGCUCCGGCUAACUCCGUG